CAUUUUUAUGAUUUUCUGGUGGCGCAAAAAUAUAAACUCGCGUCACCACGUUUCGAAUGUUUCAUCUGCUAUAUUUGCACCACUCAAUUUACGCCACUGUACGUACACGCUACGAUAUGGGUACCGAAUUUCCUUUGAGCAAGAACAGUGUUUCGCUGUGCUGGUUCCGACAUUGAAAUGUGUCCAAAAUUUAACGUUGAACGCGGUGCCUACCUACUCGUAUCUCGUUUGAAAAUUAAAACAUCGAAAAAAUAGUGACGACGUUGUCCGGGUACGUUCUUAUCUUUAAGUUUGAUAAUAGGUCAAUUCGCUCCGAUAUUAGCAACGGACAAUAGCGCAAUAUCGUCACCGUCGAACGCGAAUUCGCCAUGCCGUACGUUUUGUAAGAACGGAGAUAACACAUACGCCCUCAGAACGUGAAAUUCGUCGACGGCUUCGGUUUUUUUUUUUUUUCGUUAUCGCGGUUCCGCAUUGAUUUUGUGUACCGCGGCACGUGGAUGUGCAUUACGUCCCAACAAAUACGAUACAGACGGUACAUAGAUGUGCUAUUUUUUUAU
Molecule: non-coding RNA, 557 nt
Organism: Cinara cedri
Lineage: Eukaryota; Metazoa; Arthropoda; Insecta; Hemiptera; Aphididae
Source: the annotation of a GenBank genome assembly